RNAcentral lists this ribosomal RNA (448 nucleotides) under uncultured bacterium. RNAcentral's name for it is "partial 16S ribosomal RNA". It matches the Rfam family "Bacterial small subunit ribosomal RNA", at positions 354 to 796 of the family's 1533-position model. The record is from RNAcentral.
GUGGGGAAUAUUGGACAAUGGGCGAAAGCCUGAUCCAGCCAUGCCGCGUGUGAAGAAGGUCUUCGGAUUGUAAAGCACUUUAAGUUGGGAGGAAGGGCAGUAAGUUAAUACCUUGCUGUUUUGACGUUACCGACAGAAUAAGCACCGGCUAACUUCGUGCCAGCAGCCGCGGUAAUACGAAGGGUGCAAGCGUUAAUCGGAAUUACUGGGCGUAAAGCGCGCGUAGGUGGUUGUGUAAGUUGGAGGUGAAAUCCCCGGGCUCAACCUGGGAACUGCCUCCAAAACUGCAUGACUAGAGUACGGUAGAGGGUAGUGGAAUUUCCUGUGUAGCGGUGAAAUGCGUAGAUAUAGGAAGGAACACCAGUGGCGAAGGCGACUACCUGGACUGAUACUGACACUGAGGUGCGAAAGCGUGGGGAGCAAACAGGAUUAGAUACCCUAGUAGUCC